UAUUAAUGAUUAUCAUUUAAGACAGCAAGCUGUUAGAAUCAUUACCACAUCGGACAAAAUGCUAAGCAGUAUUUCAUCCCUCUUUAUGUUCUGAGUUCAAAUGCUGGCAAAGUCGAC
Molecule: long non-coding RNA, 117 nt
Organism: Octopus sinensis (East Asian common octopus)
Lineage: Eukaryota; Metazoa; Mollusca; Cephalopoda; Octopoda; Octopodidae
Exons: 3
Source: RefSeq, a predicted model, not a curated record